Long non-coding RNA from Dermacentor albipictus, 1297 nucleotides. RefSeq lists it as uncharacterized. Lineage: Eukaryota; Metazoa; Arthropoda; Arachnida; Ixodida; Ixodidae. The record is from RefSeq and is a predicted model, not a curated record.
GCGAAUGACGAGCCAAAUGUUUGCGUCAUUCGUCAGACACACCGCCGAAGCGAGAGGGACGGGCCGCGCAUCUGAGCGUUGGACUGUUCGGGCACCCGCCUGUGUGUUUUUCCAUUUUGGGGUGUAGCCUGGUUUGGUGGCCUCCGGCGAAUUAUUGCGUUCCUUCGGAACUUCGACAUGGCACCACUGCACUAUUGCACUACGGCAAGGAAAUGUAAACACAGCCCAUUUCGUUUGAAGCCAUUGUAGCAGAAAUAAACACGGACAAAGAUAAGCACAGGACUCCACGGACACUGCAACGGGAGAUAUGGCUUCAUGUAAGAGGUGGCCGCGACUGUGUGCUUUACUGCCUCCUGCCUAGUGCUGCCUAUCAGAAAAAAGAAGUAUGAACGAGCAUUACCUGCGUUUUUCGGGACUUUACACCUAUAAAAAAAACACAGUUUCCCAGGCGUGACAAAUGGCGAAACUACGCAAAACGUUGAGAUCUGAAGGGUCUGACGUGGGAGCAGAUGUACAACGGCUACGGCCUCUUUGACCACUUCACAGACCGGGCCUAGACCAACCCGGCUAAAGCAAGGCUGGUGCUGUUGGAGUGGACGAGCGGUCACUGAUUCAGAAAGGUAAACCAGUUAUUAGUGGCUGCGAAUAUCUCUGCUUCUGUAGUUCAUUAUUUUCAGCAAGAAAUCAAUACACAACGCAUGGUGUAAAUGUGAAGUUCACAUCGAGCGCUGUCUUUUCAUGUCGUUCGGUUCCGUAUUUUCUGCGCAGGCGUGAAGAGACAGCGUGUUUCUCAGAUUCCGUUUAUGAGAUGCUCAUUUGCUGUGCGCCAUGUUCUGGAUUAUUGGCUAUACUAAUACCCACGUGACGCAGCAAACGUAAUCUAAUUUCCAACCCCGGAUAUUAGUUGACGUUGGUGCCGUGAUCAUUGUGCGCUGUCCCAGCGCGAAAGCUUAUGUAAAUUGAAAAUUAUGCCAAUGACGAUAGUAAAGAAAGAGAGGCAAAGAGAGCGUUAAACCUAGUUCUGUCCAAUGAAUGUUUUGCAGUAUGCAAACUUACAUUGUAACUUGAUCCUCCCGUUCACACCAUGCUUUCUGACCACUAAUUCUCGACUCUGUUGACUAAGUCAAGCUAAGUCGAACAUCGGGCAAAGAACAUGGCGGAAAGCAUGACGGGCACGUUCACUACCCUUGCUGAAGAAGAACAGGGACCAAGAGUUUGCUCCCUCGAAGACCUACGGCUCUCGUCUGUCUUGUCUGCGUCUUUUGUAGAAAAUAAACUGUCUGUUUUCCGCCAUCAA